RNAcentral lists this transfer RNA (65 nucleotides) under Ictidomys tridecemlineatus (thirteen-lined ground squirrel). Its description in RNAcentral is "Spermophilus tridecemlineatus (thirteen-lined ground squirrel) tRNA". It matches the Rfam family "tRNA". From Rfam's summary of the family: Transfer RNA (tRNA) molecules are approximately 80 nucleotides in length. The record is from Rfam by way of RNAcentral. Lineage: Eukaryota; Metazoa; Chordata; Mammalia; Rodentia; Sciuridae.
GGUAUAGCUUAAUGGUAGAGUUUAUGCUUAGCGGGUUUGAGGGCCUGGGUUUAAUUCCCAGUACC